Molecule: ribosomal RNA, 441 nt
Filed under: uncultured bacterium
Lineage: Bacteria
Description: partial 16S ribosomal RNA
Rfam family: Bacterial small subunit ribosomal RNA
Source: RNAcentral
CCUACGGGCGGCAGCAGUGGGGAAUAUUGGGCAAUGGGCGCAAGCCUGACCCAGUAACGCCGCGUGAAGGAUGAAGGUUUUCGGAUUGUAAACUUCUGUCGCGAGGGACGAAGAAUGACGGUACCUCGUAAGAAAGCCCCGGCUAACUACGUGCCAGCAGCCGCGGUAAUACGUAGGGGGCAAGCGUUGUCCGGAAUGACUGGGCGUAAAGGGAGUGUAGGCGGGAGUGCAAGUCAGAUGUGAAAACUAUGGGCUCAACCCAUAGCCUGCAUUUGAAACUGUACUUCUUGAGUGCUGGAGAGGCAAUCGGAAUUCCGUGUGUAGCGGUGAAAUGCGUAGAUAUACGGAGGAACACCAGUGGCGAAGGCGGAUUGCUGGACAGUAACUGACGCUGAGGCGCGAAAGCGUGGGGAGCAAACAGGAUUAGAUACCCCAGUAGUC